AAACUGGGAUUAGAUACCCCACUAUGCCUAGCCCUAAACAUUGAUAGAAUUUUACAACCUCUAUCCGCCCGGGGACUACAAGCAUCAGCUUGAAACCCAAAGGACUUGGCGGUGCUUUAGAUCCACCUAGAGGAGCCUGUUCUAGAACCGAUAACCCCCGUUCAACCUCACCCCUCUUUGUUAAUACCGCCUAUAUACCACCGUCGUCAGCUUACCCUGUGAGGGACCAAUAGUAAGCUUAACUGGUAUAACCCUAAACGUCAGGUCGAGGUGUAGCGUAUGGAGGGGAAAGAAAUGGGCUACAUUCGCUACAACAGCGAACACGAAUGAUGUCCUGAAACGUACAUCUGAAGGAGGAUUUAGCAGUAAGUAGAAAAUAGAGUGUUCUACUGAAAUUGGCCCUGAAGCGCGCACACACCGCC
Molecule: ribosomal RNA, 422 nt
Filed under: Pungitius sinensis (Amur stickleback)
Lineage: Eukaryota; Metazoa; Chordata; Actinopteri; Perciformes; Gasterosteidae
Description: partial 12S ribosomal RNA
Rfam family: Bacterial small subunit ribosomal RNA
Source: RNAcentral